AACGGUAAAAGAUGAGUAUGCGUCCCAUUAGCUAGAUGGUAAGGUAACGGCUUACCAUGGCAAUGAUGGGUAGGGGUCCUGAGAGGGAGAUCCCCCACACUGGUACUGAGACACGGACCAGACUCCUACGGGAGGCAGCAGUGAGGAAUAUUGGACAAUGGGCGCAAGCCUGAUCCAGCCAUGCCGCGUGCAGGAAGACGGUCCUAUGGAUUGUAAACUGCUUUUAUACAGGAAGAAGCACUCCCUCGUGAGGGAACUUGACGGUACUGUAUGAAUAAGCAUCGGCUAACUCCGUGCCAGCAGCCGCGGUAAUACGGAGGAUGCAAGCGUUAUCCGGAAUCAUUGGGUUUAAAGGGUCCGUAGGCGGUUUAAUAAGUCAGUGGUGAAAGCCCAUCGCUCAACGAUGGAACGGCCAUUGAUACUGUUAAACUUGAAUUAUUAGGAAGUAACUAGAAUAUGUAGUGUAGCGGUGAAAUGCUUAGAGAUUACAUGGAAUACCAAUUGCGAAGGCAGGUUACUACUAAUAUAUUGACGCUGAUGGACGAAAGCGUGGGGAGCGAACAGGAUUAGAU
RNAcentral lists this ribosomal RNA (572 nucleotides) under uncultured bacterium. RNAcentral's name for it is "bacterial SSU rRNA". It matches the Rfam family "Bacterial small subunit ribosomal RNA", at positions 214 to 783 of the family's 1533-position model. The record is from RNAcentral.